UACGUAGGGUGCAAGCGUUGUCCGGAAUUAUUGGGCGUAAAGAGCUCGUAGGCGGUUUGUCGCGUCUGCUGUGAAAACUCGGGGCUUAACCCCGGGCCUGCAGUGGGUACGGGCAGACUAGAGUGCGGUAGGGGAGACUGGAAUUCCUGGUGUAGCGGUGAAAUGCGUAGAUAUCAGGAGGAACACCGGUGGUGUAGACGGCUUACUGGACCACGACUGACACUGAGGCACGAAAGCGUGGGUAGCAAACAGG
This 253-nucleotide ribosomal RNA is filed under the name uncultured bacterium. Its description in RNAcentral is "partial 16S ribosomal RNA". It matches the Rfam family "Bacterial small subunit ribosomal RNA", at positions 524 to 776 of the family's 1533-position model. The record is from RNAcentral.